AUCGGUGCGCUAAUAAUCGAGGUAGUAUCACUUGGUUGACUUAAGAAAUUUUAACCUACACUGUUCCUUCUCUUCUUCGCAGCCUCGCGUUCUCCUUCUUCUUCCUUAUGCAAGAGUCGUUCUUCAUCUUCCUUGAGGACAUUGCUGCUUCGUCUUCCUCGCGUGCCAUUGUUGUUGCCUCUCGCCUCUGCCUCGUCGCUGCUGCCAACAUCUUCGUCGUCAUGCAAUUGCCUCCGCCUCCGCCUCACUCGUAGCACCUCUAGCUCUGUCGUCGCGCCUUUGUUGUGGUUGUGGCAGCCACGGUAAGUUGUCUUUGCUGUUGGGAGUGAAGAAGCUUCUCGAUAACAGCUCCUAGGGUUCUAAUCCACGAUUACCUUUUCAAGUUGGUUCUGAUCGGCGAUUCUGGCGUGGGGAAGUCCAACCUUCUCUCGUGCUUCACGCGGAACGAGUUCAAUUUGGAGUCCAAGUUUACCAUAAGAGUUGAGUUCGCCACCAAGAGUUUGAAUAUCGAUUCCAAGGUAAUCAAGGCUUAGAUAUGGGACACCGCUGGCCAAGAAAAGGUUGGUCUUUCAUCUCUCAAUUUAGGAAUAUGUCCAAAAUUGAGUACACUCAGCAUUGAAGCACCUUAUAUGGUUUCACUUGAGUUGAAAGGAUGUGGUGUACUAUCUGAAGCAUUCAUUAAUUGUCCACUCUUAACAUCUCUCGAUGCUUCCUUUUGCAGCCAACUAACUGAUGACUGCUUGUCUGCUACAACUGUCACAUGCCCACUGAUUGAGUCAUUGAUAUUGAUGUCAUGCCCAUCAAUUGGUUCAGACGGUCUUCGAUCUUUAUUUUGUCUUCCAAAGUUGAUUGUUCUUGACUUAUCAUACACUUUCUUGGUGAACUUGCAACCUGUUUUUGAUUCUUGUUUACAGCUAAAGGUUAGAGUUACCAUAGCAUGGUUUCUUAUUCUUGUACAUUCUUUUAAUCACGAGUAUUGCUAAUGAGAUGGGUUUAGAACAAUCAUAUCUUUUUUUAUAAUCAGUAAUGUAUACUGUUAUCAUGGUAUCUUAUUCCCAUAAUUCCAAUAUGUUAUUUCCCUUUCGUUUCAU
Long non-coding RNA from Vigna angularis (adzuki bean), 1091 nucleotides. RefSeq lists it as uncharacterized. NCBI's taxonomy places the organism in Eukaryota, Viridiplantae, Streptophyta, Magnoliopsida, Fabales, Fabaceae. The record is from RefSeq and is a predicted model, not a curated record. The transcript is spliced from 3 exons.